This is a non-coding RNA of Tinamus guttatus (white-throated tinamou), 327 nucleotides long. The record is from RefSeq and is a predicted model, not a curated record. Lineage: Eukaryota; Metazoa; Chordata; Aves; Tinamiformes; Tinamidae.
AAUAAUCACAUAAAAAAAGUCCUUGAAAGAUAGAAAAAAAGGCAAUGUUUUUCUGGUUUGCUAUAGUCAAAAGCCUCCCAGCAUGUAGCACCAACUUUAAACUGAUAGUGCAGUUAUAUGGAAACUUAGCAUCAAGAGCAACUGGAAAGAAUAGUGUCCAAAUAAGACAGACACAAAUGCAAACAAAGUGGAAUACAGUAGUUUGUCUUCUAACUUACAGCUAGGAAUUAUUUCUCCUAUUUUAAGUAGCCUUUCAGAAACCACUAUGGUGACAGGAUCACCCACAUUUACUCUAUUCUAAAGUCUUCCCACAGUGUCAAUCACUGU